This is a long non-coding RNA of Mytilus californianus (California mussel), 197 nucleotides long. RefSeq lists it as uncharacterized. The transcript has 4 exons. NCBI's taxonomy places the organism in Eukaryota, Metazoa, Mollusca, Bivalvia, Mytilida, Mytilidae. The record is from RefSeq and is a predicted model, not a curated record.
UUCAUACAUGUGCAUAAAAUAUAUUGCAGAAAAAAUUAAAGCCAAAAUAUCCAUUGUCUAUGCUACAAAAGCUAAGACAUAUUCUACAGAGCCAUCCAUUUGUGACGUUUGUUCAGGAAGAUAUUCACUAUACAUUUUAGUUGCAAAAGGUCAAAACUACGAGCUUGCAAGACAAUGUAAGUAAAAACUUCAGGAGG